This is a long non-coding RNA of Etheostoma cragini (Arkansas darter), 113 nucleotides long. RefSeq lists it as uncharacterized. The record is from RefSeq and is a predicted model, not a curated record. NCBI's taxonomy places the organism in Eukaryota, Metazoa, Chordata, Actinopteri, Perciformes, Percidae. The transcript has 3 exons.
GUUACUGGCAAUAUGUAUUAAAAGCUAUAGUGGGUAGUUUCUGUGUCGCCCAUGAGGAAUUCUAAGUAAUGACAACUACACUGUCGGAGCAUCCACAUGAUACAAGUCUUCUG